GCUGCGCGGCAGCUGUAGAGCCAGCCAAAGUAGCACAAUUUAAAAUAAAAUUGACUUUAAUCAAACCACGGAUCCGUGAUAAGUUUUAUGUUCCGUCUCACCACUAGUGUAGUAGCACUGAUCAUUUUGAGGGGGGGGGGGGGAAUUUACCCCCACCGGGGAUAAAAAUUAUUAAGCAGAGGCAGGGAUACAUUGACCAGAAACGGGGAAUCCCACGCAUUUCUUUGGCAAAUCGCACCCUGGAUGUAAUUGAGUUUUCGAUGGGUUCAUUAUUCAGUUGAGUUGCUGAAACAAACCAUUUGGACGUGUUAAGAGUUUCAUUGAUGGCGAGUUAACCCAGUCGAAUUCUAGAAGGAAAGAAGAGGAAAUUCAUCUAAUCCAUUCAAGGUUUAUUUCAUCUUCAAAAUAAAAAGCACUUUGAGUUUUCAACUGUUCUACAAUUUAGUGGACACCAGUAAAUACUUACCUCUGGAACUGAGAACUGAUCAGUAUUAAGAACUGCCCUAGUUGGAACUGUAUUGAAGUGGAUGGUAUUUUACCAUUGCUGUUCUAACUAGUAUUUUACUGAAAAUAAAUCUGAUAUUAGUCAAGGUUGAAAAAAGGAGUGCAAUUUUCCUUUCAAGGAAAAUGCCUAUAAAAACAAGGGGGAAAUGUUUAUAAACAAAUUACUUACUUCACAAGCAGUCUCUUGUCAUUCAUCAGUAUUAACCCCUACCUCCCUAGACAAACUAAGUAUCUUCUAUAUUCAUUGCCAGUGAAUCAGUCUAUUAAUCUAUCUAUCUAAUACAUCCA
Long non-coding RNA from Paramisgurnus dabryanus, 792 nucleotides. RefSeq lists it as uncharacterized. Lineage: Eukaryota; Metazoa; Chordata; Actinopteri; Cypriniformes; Cobitidae. The record is from RefSeq and is a predicted model, not a curated record.